Molecule: ribosomal RNA, 253 nt
Filed under: uncultured bacterium
Lineage: Bacteria
Description: partial 16S ribosomal RNA
Rfam family: Bacterial small subunit ribosomal RNA
Source: RNAcentral
UACGAGGGGGGCAAGCGUUGUUCGGAAUUAUUGGGCGUAAAGGGUGCGUAGGCGGUUUGGUAAGUCUUAUGUGAAAUCUACAGGCUCAACUUGUAGUCUGCAUGAGAAACUGCCGGGCUUGAGUAUGGGAGAGGUGAGUGGAAUUCCUGGUGUAGCGGUGAAAUGCGUAGAUAUCAGGAGGAACACCUGUGGCGAAAGCGGCUCACUGGACCAUAACUGACGCUGAGGCACGAAAGCGUGGGUAGCAAACAGG